Molecule: ribosomal RNA, 246 nt
Filed under: Triticum aestivum (bread wheat)
Lineage: Eukaryota; Viridiplantae; Streptophyta; Magnoliopsida; Poales; Poaceae
Description: partial small subunit ribosomal RNA
Source: RNAcentral
UUUGGAGUUGCUGUGGUUAUCACGAAUCAGGUAGUGGCACAAGUGGAUGGCUCUGCCAUGUUUGCGGGGCCACAGGUGAAGCCUAUCGGUGGGAACAUCAUGGCACAUGCUUCCACAACCAAGCUUGCUCUUCGCAAGGGAAGAGGCGAAGAGCAAAUAUGUAAAGUAAUCAGCUCCCCUUGCCUAGCUUAAGCCGAAGCAAGGUUCCAGUUAUCAUCCGAAGGCAUUUCAGAUGUCAAGGACUGA